Molecule: long non-coding RNA, 1240 nt
Filed under: Heterocephalus glaber (naked mole-rat)
Lineage: Eukaryota; Metazoa; Chordata; Mammalia; Rodentia; Bathyergidae
Description: lncRNA (ENSHGLG00000048632.1)
Source: RNAcentral
AGAAAUUGUUUGAAAUAUAUAUCCUCCAGAAUGCUUAGGUUGGUAAGCCUUCAGUUAUUUAUUUCUGUUGGGUAUUUUGUUUUUUGUUUUUAUUUUGGUGUUCUGGGGAUUAAAAAAACCAGGGGCACUCUACCACUGCGCUACAUUCCCAGCCUUUUUCUUCUUCUUUUUUGAGGAAUAAGAUCUUGCUAAAUGACGCAGCCUGGCCUUGAACUAUUAAUAUUAAUGCCCCUGCCUCUGCCUCCCAACUAGUAUUUCUACAUUUUUGAAGUAUGAUUUAAGGUUUCAUUCUAGAAUUCUAAAUGUCUUAACAUUUUCCUUCGAAUCUUUUUUGUUUCUUUCACAUUUUUUUUAUUAGUGCCUAUUAAUGAGUUGCAUUUUCGCAAAUUGGUGCAUGCUCAGAAUAUACUUUGAUCAUUUUUACCCUACCAUUAUCCCCUCUGCCUGGCCUCUCUAGUUUAAUUUUUUCCUUAGGGGGUUUAUUGCCUAUAAUAUAUUUUGAUCAUAUUCAUCUUCCUAUUACCACCCCAUAUAACCACUUCCCCUCUCCCAGUAUUCCCUUCAUCUUGUCUCAUAAUAGUCUCCCUCCUGCUCUCUUGUCAUCUUUUUCAGAUUCCACAUAUGUACUAGGGAUCCCCCUUUUUUUUUUUUUAAAUGUUAGGAUCAAACCCAGGGCCUUGCACAUGAUAGGUAGCUCAGUGGUUCUACCACCUGCCUUGCAAGCCCAGGGACUGGAGUUCAAUCCCCUGUACCAAAAAAUAAAUUGCAAGUUAUAUACUAUAACAAUGAUAUCUUCAAGAUUUUAGUAAAAAGUGAUAUUUGCUGUUCCAGGCUUAAUACUUAAUUUAUAAAAUUUCUUCAGUGUGACUAUUUUGUAGUUCAUUAUACAUAGGAUAGCCAUAACUUAGCAGGACUGUUUGAGAGUGAAAGCAGGCAUUGCUAACAGUGAUACCAAGACAGUGGACAUAGACCACUGAGUUGAUUGCAGUGGUCUAACUUGUAACCCCAGCUCUUUGGGAGGCUGAGGCAUGAAGAUUACAAGUUUGAGCCCAGCCUGGGCAACUAAGUGAGACCCUGUCUCAAAAGAGGCUGGGGGAGGUAGUUCAGCCAUAAACCAUCCCUGGAUUCAAUCCCUAGUACCACAAAAAAUAAACAAACCAAGAUUGUCCCAGGCAAAUCAAGCAAGUCAUCCUAAUUAUAUAAGACUGAUUUUAAAUGACUACUUUAACAUAGGAUGACU